RNAcentral lists this long non-coding RNA (2184 nucleotides) under Homo sapiens (human). RNAcentral describes it as "HSALNT0360186". The record is from RNAcentral. Lineage: Eukaryota; Metazoa; Chordata; Mammalia; Primates; Hominidae.
GCUCAGAGCCAGGGUCUCUGCUGGGGUCAGCGUCUGUACGCUAAAGCCAGGGCGCAAAGUGCGUGGGCACUGCGGACACUAGAGGCUUAUGGCGCUGGAAAUACAAGGCCGAGUUGCCGGCGCAAAGAGUUCCCCGGGCGGGUUGGUGAUGCGGCGCGCUUUGAUAACAGGUUAAUCCGGCCAACAUUCGCUCCGCGAGAGAGCCAUCGGAGGGCUCCGGGAGACUGCGGCGCCACGGAGGGAGAGGCGGCGAGAGGCCCCUCUGCGAGCACCCUCUGGGCGCAGUGCGGUGGGCUAUGCUCUGCGCAGCCCCGGGCGCGCCUGGGUUCUCAGAGCCCAAGACCUGAGCCGCUCCGAGCGCAGGGCGCCAGUUCUCUUUCAGAAGCGGGAGAAGUUCAGGUGCCCAACACCUUGAUCAGUGCCUGCUUUGUAGUAGGCAUUCAAAUACUGUGGACUGGAUGAAUGGAGUCACUUCCCUUCCAACCUGCACACCAACGUGGUUGAACUGCCUCCUUUCUAAGUGCCAAAGUCUGUUUUACAAGGCUGAUAUCAAAGGAGCAUUACAAAAUAUUGUCUAACAGAAGUACCAGGGCUGGAUCCCAAAGUUUUGUGUAGAUCUUGAUAAAGAGUUUGGAUUUUAUUCUAACAAGAGUGAAGAGCAUGACAAUGUUUGCAGAAGAGUGAUGGCUUCUUUCAGGCAACAGUGACAAUUACACCUCCUCUUUUUCUCUUUGAUCCUCCACCCUCUCCCUCCAGCACCUGGUACAAAGCUGGGUACCCAGCAGACACUCUGUAAAUUAAAGUGCUGCCAGCCUGAACAAUCUCAGUGGAAGAGCUAAGUGGGUCCAUUUCCUUGCUUUACAAAUGAAGUCGCUGAGGCUCAGAGGGGUUAAGUUCUUUUCCUGAGCUAGGUAAUAUCUGGUUAAGUAAGAUCUGAUAAGUGUGUGUGUGUGUGUGUGUGUGUGUGUGUGUGUGUGUGUGUGUGUGUCUGUGUGCUUGGACAGGGGGUGCUUCCGCCUUUCACUGCCCCAAUAGGAGUCAGUCCUGUUCCUUUUCACUUCUCUACUUGAUGCUCUACCCACCGGCCUCAGGCCAUAUGCCCUGGUCCACCCUGCUCACAGAACUUCCCGCCUGGCCCCUGUUACCUGACCGAUGCCACAGGCAUCACUGGGUCCCAGGAGCCAGCCUCUUUACUUUUGGACCCCAGGCCAGGAUCUAAAAAUAUCUCUGAGUAUUUCCAACACCUACAACAGAUGCGCCUGCAAAUUACCUGGUCCCAGUGGUGGGGAGCAGGGGAGGAAAGGGCAUCGUUGUUCUAAAAGCAUUACACAUUUAAUUUGCAAAGUUACAUCAUGCAUUUGUGCACAGGUCAACUUUCUAGGAGUCGAUUUCGAAAACAGAGACAGGUUGAGGAUCCUGAGGGUGUUCUUUGCAGAGAAGGCAGGGGAGGUUGUGGAGGCCUGUCAGAUGCUUUCACACACUCAAGGCCAGUACUCCUCUUCCCUCUCAUAGAUGAGAAAUGAUGGACAUUCAUGGGGUCCUUUCUCUGCGUGUGCCAGGUACCUCUGCAGACACCAUUAUAUUUCUUUCUGAGAUCAACCUUGCAGAGUGUGCCUUGGUGUCAUCCUCAUCUUACAGGUGUGGAAGCUGAGGCCUAAUGAGGCCAUGUGUCUUCCGUUCCCCUUAUACACCAUGGGACAUGGGGCAGAGCAUAAGCUUGAACCCCGGUCUCUAGGUUUUUUUCUACCACACAGUGCAGUGAGAGACAUGAAGGGGGUUGAUGUGUAUGGAAUACAUAUACAUGCGCAUCCAGCUAUACUUUUAAAAAAAUUAUUAUUGGAUGGGUCUGGGUUCUCUAUUUUAUAAGUGACACAUACAACUAUUGAACCCAUGUGAGAUUAUAGCCAGGAGUGCAUAAAAAACUGUCCUCAGAACAAGUUGAAUGGGAAGUUGGUAAAAACGAAUAAGGUUGAGUUCACUCCACAGCCCCACAGAUGCAACUGAUUUAAUUGACCAAAUAGUUUUCUUGAAUUACUGUUGUUAAUUUAAGAGUUUAAAAAAAUUAACUUGAGAGUAGUUUUGUGUGCUAACCGGAUGAUUUAGAAGGUUAUUUGGUUGAUAAAAUGAAUCCUUGAUACAUUAUAGUUAUAAAGUUAAAACCCUAUUCCUUACUUAUGCUUCUAA